This is a non-coding RNA of Poronia punctata, 82 nucleotides long. NCBI's taxonomy places the organism in Eukaryota, Fungi, Ascomycota, Sordariomycetes, Xylariales, Xylariaceae. The record is from the annotation of a GenBank genome assembly.
GGCCAGGUGGCGGAGUGGUCUAACGCGAUAGACUAGAAAUCUAUUUCCCUCGGGAGCGUCUGUUCGAAUCAGGCCCUGGUCG